Molecule: ribosomal RNA, 253 nt
Filed under: uncultured bacterium
Lineage: Bacteria
Description: partial 16S ribosomal RNA
Rfam family: Bacterial small subunit ribosomal RNA
Source: RNAcentral
UACGGAGGAUCCGAGCGUUAUCCGGAAUUAUUGGGUUUAAAGGGUGCGUAGGCGGCAUUUUAAGUCAGGGGUGAAAUACAGCGGCUCAACCGUUGCAGUGCCCUUGAUACUGAAGUGCUUGAAUGUGGUCGAAGUAGGCGGAACGGGACAAGUAGCGGUGAAAUGCAUAGAUAUGUCCCAGAACCCCGAUUGCGAAGGCAGCUUCCUAGUCCAUUAUUGACGCUGAUGCACGAAAGCGUGGGGAUCGAACAGG